CUGGCUCAGAGCGAAUGCUGGCGGCGUGCCUAAUACAUGCAAGUCGAACGAGAACAUUNUCCUUCGGGAAAUAAGUAAAGUGGCGCACGGGUGAGUAACACGUGGGUAAUCUACCUUUUCGUGAAGAAUAACUCUUGGAAACGAGGGCUAAUACUUCAUAGUUUACUAUUUUUUGCGAACUAUAGUAAUAAAGAGGGCCUCUACUUGUAAGCUCUUGCGAAAAGAUGAGCCUGCGGGCCAUUAGGUAGUUGGUAGGGUAAAGGCCUACCAAGCCAACGAUGGCUAGCUGGUCUGAGAGGAUGAUCAGCCACACUGGAACUGAAACACGGUCCAGACUCCUACGGGAGGCAGCAGUAGGGAAUAUUGCGCAAUGGGCGAAAGCCUGACGCAGCGACGUCGUGUGGGGGAUGAAGGGUUUUGGCUCGUAAACCCCUGUCAGGAGGGACGAUGGAUUUAUUAGUUAAUACCUAAUAAAUUUGACGGUACCUCCAGAGGAAGCACCGGCUAACUACGUGCCAGCAGCCGCGGUAACACGUAGGGUGCGAGCGUUGCUCGGAAUUAUUGGGCGUAAAGAGUGAGUAGGCGGGUUAGUAAGUCAGAAGUGAAAGCCUAAAGCUCAACUUUAGAAGUGCUUUUGAUACUGCUAAUCUAGAUUCCAGGAGAGGGAAGCAGAAUUUCAGGUGUAGGGGUGAAAUCCGUAGAUAUCUGGAAGAAUACCGGAGGCGAAGGCGGCUUCCUGGACUGGUAAUGACGCUCAGACACGAAAGCGUGGGUAGCAAACAGGAUUAGAUACCCUGGUAGUCCACGCCCUAAACGAUGAUUACUAGAUGUGGUGGGUGUUGA
This 843-nucleotide ribosomal RNA is filed under the name uncultured organism. RNAcentral describes it as "bacterial SSU rRNA". It matches the Rfam family "Bacterial small subunit ribosomal RNA", at positions 19 to 835 of the family's 1533-position model. The record is from RNAcentral.